CCUACGUGAGGCAGCAGUGGGGACUAUUGCACAAUGGGGGAAACCCUGAUGCAGCGACGCCGCGUGAGUGAAGAAGCGUUUCGGCGCGUAAAGCUCUGUCAGCGGGGAAGAAACACGGUUCGCGAGAGCCGCGGACGGUACCCGACCAAGAAGCCCCGGCUAACUACGUACCAGCAGCCGCGGUAAUACGUAGGGGGCAAGCGUUAUCCGGUUUCACUGGGUUUAAAGGGUGCUUAGGCGGAAUGCCAAGUCAGCGGUAAAAUCGCGGGGCUCAACCUCGCUCCGCCGUUUAAACUGGCGUGCUUGAGUGGGCGAGAAGGAUGCGGAAUGCGUGGUGGAGCGGUGAAAUGCAUAGAUAUCACGCAGAACUCCGAUUGCGAAGGCAGCAUACCGGCGCCCAACUGACGCUGAAGCACGAAAGCGUGGGUAUCGAACAGGAUUAGAUACCCGAGUAGUC
This 457-nucleotide ribosomal RNA is filed under the name uncultured bacterium. Its description in RNAcentral is "partial 16S ribosomal RNA". It matches the Rfam family "Bacterial small subunit ribosomal RNA", at positions 338 to 795 of the family's 1533-position model. The record is from RNAcentral.